GCCAGGCAUUGUGGUGGGCGCCUGUAAUCCCAGCUACUUGGGAGGCUGAGGUGGGAGAAUCGCUUGAACCCGGGAGGCGGGGGUUGCAGUGAGCCAAGAUGGCGCCACUGCACUCCAGCCUAGGUGACAGAGCGAGAUCCUGUCUCAA
RNAcentral lists this non-coding RNA (148 nucleotides) under Nomascus leucogenys (northern white-cheeked gibbon). Lineage: Eukaryota; Metazoa; Chordata; Mammalia; Primates; Hylobatidae. The record is from Rfam by way of RNAcentral.